Rhodamnia argentea is the source of this 276-nucleotide long non-coding RNA. RefSeq lists it as uncharacterized. The transcript is spliced from 3 exons. The record is from RefSeq and is a predicted model, not a curated record. Lineage: Eukaryota; Viridiplantae; Streptophyta; Magnoliopsida; Myrtales; Myrtaceae.
GCUGCCGCCCCGGUCCUGCUCACAUUAACGUACAGAAGAAGAUUCAUCGUAUUUCUUCGACCGAUACACAUCGACUCGAAACAAGAGAGAGAGAGAGAGAGAGAUGGUGAGUUCACCUGGAACGACUGCACCUUUCUGAAGGAGUGCUCGAGCUUCGGUGGAAGGGAGGAAGAGAACAGCAAAGGAGAUCAAAAGAGCACAAGCAAGAAGACAGGCCUUCCUCAUUUUUAUUUUUUUUCAAUAGCUGGAGAGGUAUUAGGUAGUUCGAUCGGAAGA